This 909-nucleotide ribosomal RNA is filed under the name uncultured bacterium. Its description in RNAcentral is "bacterial SSU rRNA". It matches the Rfam family "Bacterial small subunit ribosomal RNA", at positions 8 to 916 of the family's 1533-position model. The record is from RNAcentral.
AGAGUUUGAUCAUGGCUCAGGAUGAACGCUAGCGGCAGGCCUAAUACAUGCAAGUCGAACGGUAAGUGUUAUAGCAAUAUGACACCAAGAGUGACGCACGGGUGCGUAACACGUAUGCAACCUACCCUUUACAGGCGGAUAGCUCGGGGAAACUCGAAUUAACCCGCCAUAAUAUAAUUGAAUGGCAUCAUUUGAUUAUUAAAUCUGCGGAGGUAAAGGAUGGGCAUGCGUCUGAUUAGUUAGUUGGUAGUGUAACGGACUACCAAGAUGAUGAUCAGUAGGGGAACUGAGAGGUUGAUCCCCCACACUGGCACUGAGAUACGGGCCAGACUCCUACGGGAGGCAGCAGUAGGGAAUAUUGGUCAAUGGGUGAGAGCCUGAACCAGCCAUGCCGCGUGCAGGAAGAAGGCCUUCUGGGUUGUAAACUGCUUUUGCCAGGGGAUAAAAAUACCUUGCGAGGUAAAUUGAAGGUACCUGGUGAAUAAGCCACGGCUAACUACGUGCCAGCAGCCGCGGUAAUACGUAGGUGGCAAGCGUUGUCCGGAUUUAUUGGGUUUAAAGGGUGCGUAGGCGGCCCUGUAAGUCAGUGCUGAAAUAUCCCGGCUUAACCGGGAGGGUGGCAUUGAUACUGCGGGGCUAGAGUACAGAUGAGGUAGGCGGAAUUGACGGUGUAGCGGUGAAAUGCUUAGAUAUCGUCAAGAACACCUAUAGCGAAGGCAGCUUACUAGGCUGUAACUGACGCUGAGGCACGAAAGUGUGGGGAUCAAACAGGAUUAGAUACCCUGGUAGUCCACACUGUAAACGUUGAUUACUCGCUGUGUGCGAUAUACAGUACGCGGCCAAGCGAAAGCGCUAAGUAAUCCACCUGGGGAGUACGCCGGCAACGGUGAAACUCAAAGGAAUUGACGG